RNAcentral lists this ribosomal RNA (446 nucleotides) under Deinopis sp. GH4. RNAcentral's name for it is "partial 16S ribosomal RNA". It matches the Rfam family "Bacterial large subunit ribosomal RNA", at positions 1831 to 2600 of the family's 2925-position model. The record is from RNAcentral. Lineage: Eukaryota; Metazoa; Arthropoda; Arachnida; Araneae; Deinopidae.
UUCUUAUAGAAUUUAUUAUAAGUAAGAUCUGCUCAAUGAAUUUAAAUAGCCGCAGAAUAUUUACUGUGCUAAGGUAGCAUAAUCAUUUGCCUUUUAAUUUAAGGCUAGUAUGAAAGAUCAAACAUUUAAAUUUUUCUAUACACUUUAACUUUCAAAUUUAAUUUAAAUGUAAAAAAACAUUUAUUAUAAAGAAAGACGACAAGACCCUAUUGAACUUCACUUUAGUUUAACUGGGGUAGUUAAUUAAUUAAAAUCUUAAUUUAUUUUAUUAUUAAAAAUAUGACCCAAUAAAAUUGAUUAAAUGAUCAAGUUACCAUAGGGAUAACAGCGUAAUAAAAUUUUAGAGUUCUUAUUAAAAAUUUAGAUUGCGACCUCGAUGUUGAAUGAUAAAUCUAUUAAAUGCAACCAUUUAAAAAGAAGGUCUGUUCGACCUUUAAUAUAUCACA